This is a long non-coding RNA of Mastomys coucha (southern multimammate mouse), 1117 nucleotides long. RefSeq lists it as uncharacterized. NCBI's taxonomy places the organism in Eukaryota, Metazoa, Chordata, Mammalia, Rodentia, Muridae. The record is from RefSeq and is a predicted model, not a curated record. The transcript has 3 exons.
GAUCUCACUGGACAAACUACCAAUGGGUACCCAGUAAGCUCACAAACCAAGUGGCAGGUCUGGGCCAGGAGCCAGGACCAAGGAGGACAGGAUGAUGCCUGGUAUGAAAGUACCAAGGGAGAGUGCCAUAUGAAGAUGAAGGUGACCAUCUACAAGCUAAGGAGAGAUAAGCACCUGGCCGACUGAUACUCUGAUGUUGGCCUUCCAGCCUCCUAAGCACAAGAACAUGAUUAUGCGCUGCUGGGGACAGUCGGGCUGAGUUAUGUUGUCAUAGCAACCCUCAUAAACUGAUAAUGCCACCCUAUGUCUUGGCUCAGAGACCAUUUGCUUCAGGACAAGUGGCUAGGAAUCUCUUUCACUGUGUGCUUCCUUGUUCCCUAAGGUCAGCCUUUCCUACAUCUUGACUCUUCAGUGACAGUAAUCAGAACAAGAGGCCAGCAGAGACCUCCCCCACCAGAACUCCAGAGAUCAACCUAGGAGCAUCCUGGGUGGCCAGUUGUGUGUACAGGGAAGCAAGGAAGAUGCAGACCUAUCUCAGAGCAUCCAUGUGGCCCUGGAGGCAAUGUCUGCUCUAUCAGGAUGUGAUUGCCGAGCUUAGCGGCCAGGAGAGAGGCCUCAGCUUCACUGGGGUUUCUGUAAAGUAAAUCUGGAGAUUUGACCCUUUCCUUGAAGCAGAGAGGCAAGAUAAAUUCUACAUCACUUUGGAGGAGCAGAAGCCCCUGGGAAAAGCAGCUACCUGGACCAGGAAGAGAAGUUGGUCGCACUGGUGCAGAAGAAAUUCGGUGAUAAAGUUGAUGGUAUAAAGGAUUUACUAAUAAUGGUCUUGCCUGGGAGAUUCUAAGUCACACAAGUGGAAUUUAGGUCUAGGAGCAUUGCUUCCACCACACCCCAAGGGUGAGUAGUCUGAUGAUCAGACGUGUUAGAGAUCAGGGGAAUUUUCGAUGCUGGGAUGGAAACUUUUGUUUACCAGGAUUGGCCAGCCAUUAGGCCCAUCCCCCUAUCAAAGAAGAUACCUCAAUGGAACAGCACAGGAUCACAACCACUGUUACAGCCUGACCUGCCAUAAAACCCCCAGUUCUUGGGAAAACCAUAAUUCUGCCAGGUAGGCAAGAUGACC